AACUUUAUUUAAGCAGGGAGUCAUGCUGAGACCAUGGUCUCUUUUGCAGAUGAGCCCUGCAUGAACAUCAAUCAACAACAAUUACACUAAACAUAUCUAUAUACACAUCAAUUACACUAAACAUAUCUAUAUACACAUCAAUUACACUAAACAUAUCUGUAUACACAUCAAUUACACUAAACAUAUCUACACAAUACAUACAUAUAAAUAAAUACAUGAAAGCAAACACAAAAAUCUACCUAAUGAUGAUUUCAGCAACCAUAUUGAUUUCAACUGUCAAGUAUUGACCCAUCAGUGCAGAUGAAAGGGAUGGAGAGAACAGAUCCUCAAGCAAUUGAGAUACAAGACAACAAUCAAUGCAAAACACAACAUUUUAUAAAUAAUUGCUUAGGAAAUAGCUGCCUAUAUGUAAUUAUUUUAAAAUGCAAGGAUGAACUAAAUAGAUUUCCUCUCUUCUAACUAAUGGAAAAUGAUUGCACUUUGUUAUUAACCUGUUUAUUGUUAUGAAUGAACCUGUCCAUCAUAACCCCCAUUUGCACACAAUACUAGUCUACUUUCCUGUUUUCAAUGCUAUACUUCACCAACUAGAAACUUUGCGUAGGCAUGGUCUAAAGUUUGUGGGAAGGUGAGCACAUUUUCAUGUCAAGUUCAGAUUUUAUAAAUUACAAUUUUUGUUUUAAAACUGUCACACGCAGGUUUUAUGGUCCAUUUUGUACAUAUGCACGGUUUAUAAAUUAGGCUCCAGACCGGGUUUGAAAAAUUCCUCCUUAAGUUGGACAUUUUCUCGAAAUCGAAAGGCACAACCUAGAUUGGAGCCAAUGCCUUAAGUAGUUGAACAUGUUAUUACUCAAACCUCGUGAAAGUGACAAAUUCACACGUUUACAUUUUCGUCAAAAAUAAUUUUAUAUCGAAGGAGGGCCUUUGAGUUGACAUGUUGCACAUGCGCAGUUCAGCUCUAGACGACCGUUACACCCGAUGACGUGUUUCUACGCAUGAGUUUGGCAAGCCAAAGUUGCCAUGACAUCGCCUACAAUUGUGAUCGAGGAUUUCUAUUGGUGAAGCAGUUUAGUCUGUCUUCAUACUGUGCUGUCUUUGGUAGAACGGACUUUGCUCAAUGUACAAGGCUACGUCACCACAAGAUGGCAGCAUUCUCUAAUAAUAAUUUGCCAAGUUCUGUUUCAUACUUCUCAAACUAACUUAAACUUUCUGUGAUUUAAUUCAGCAAGAUCAUUUACAAAUUUAAAGGUUAUUUUUUAUUAUGAUUCAGUUCACUUUUAUUCACAUUGAUGGUGGUGACUAACUCAGGGGUGGCCAGCCAACGUACAUUAUAUUUAUUAACUGCGCAGUGUAUGCAAUAUUUAAGCAGAAUAUAAUAGAGCUAUUCUUACUAUGCAGUACAUGUACUAAAAUACAUUAAGUCAACAGGUCUAUUCAUCUCAAUACUUCAAAACUCCUAAAAACGUCACAAGUCCAGUAUGUGGGUCUUCCAGUGAGUUGGAGAGGAUUGAGGAACCAUGGCACAGUUUGGAACCUUGAUAUGGACUGUGAGGAAAACAUUUCUGAUUUGCACAUUUUGUGGCUUUGCAUCAUUUUACUAGCCUUGUACGCCGGGAAACAGAAUAUACAUAUUAUGUUGGUGCUUGAAAGCAUUGGAUCCUGUAUUGCAUGUGGUAGAGCCGAGUACAGAAUAGGGGAUGAAUGUUGUCCCAUGUGUUCACCAGGAAAUCGUGUACAUAGGCAUUGUACUGAAUUCACCAGCACCAGCUGUGUGCCCUGUGUUGAUUCUACAUUCCUUGAUGAGCCCAAUGGUCUCAUAAAAUGCAAAGUGUGUACCAACUGUGAUCCAGGUUUGGGUUUGAUGGUAAAGCAGCCAUGUACACCUUCAUCAGACACUGUUUGUGGGACACUGGAGGGGUUCUACUGUCUAGACCCAACUAAGGAUGGUUGUAGAGCAGCCCAGAGACACCGCAGCUGUAAACCUGGUCAAUACAUCAGCCACACAGGAACAACAUCUACAGAUACUGUGUGUUCUGACUGCCCUGGUAAAACUUAUUCAGAUGGAUCAUUAACAUCUUGUCAACAACACACAGAAUGUGAAUUCUUGGAAAUAAAACCAGGAACUCCUUGGUCGGAUUCAGAAUGUGGAGUAGCCUCACUUCCCAUAGUUGGAAUCAUAGCUGGUGUUCUCAUGUGUUUUUUUCUGAUAGCCACCAUAGCUGGUGUUUGUUUAUUUAUAAUGAUAAAAAGACAAAUGGUGAGAAGAGAAAUAGUGAGAACAAGACCAAACUCAGACCCUCAAAUACCUACACAGGUAUGUUUGGAAAUCUAUGAAUAUAUUUCAUCACAUUGUACUACUUUGUGCUUUCUUCUGACUGACAUUUUAAUUUAUUGGGCCAGUUUCCCAGACAGAGAUUAUGCCUAGUAUUGGAAUAAAAAGCAUUUUAAAUGGAAAGUCUUCAUUGAAUGUGCCUCUUAGUCCAGGACUGAGUGUAAUCUCUGUCCGGGAAACCGCCCAAUGUGUUUAACUAAUUUCUGAUUCCAUUUGAUAGGCAUCCCCAGAUCAGGAAAUACCAAUGCUGUCUGGGGGAACUGGAAAAGAUUCAAGCCCCCGUCACAGUCAGGGACUCGACAUUCUGUAAUCUGUGGUCCACUGGCUGGCUGGUCCAGCCAUCUCUAGUGUAUCUUAACACUACAUGUUAAAUGUGAUAUUGUAGAAUCUGGUUGAUAUAAAAACAGGAUUCUACACCACAUUCAAUUGUAGAGUAAAGAAAUGAAAAACACUUUGAAACCCAACCUCCAGUUAGAAGAAUAUGACUUCUAGAUACCUGUUGGGAGAGGACCACAGUGUCUUUGUACCACAUGGGGAUGUUUAAAACUUACUCCUCAGCCUGAACUGUUCCCACUUGUGUCAGCGAAUAACUAGCUUUUUGUGUGGGCGCCACUGGUAAGAUGCUUCAGAAGGGCAGAAACAUAUCAGCUUCUGCCUACAGCCUACAGACUGGUCUAAAAUGAAAAGGACCAUGUGAUGAGUAUAAAUUAGCUUCACCUUGCUAGGAAACAGAUUUAGAAGCUGUUUCCCCUCUUCCCAGGGGAAAGUCAAAUGUGUUCAUAACUUCAGGACCACAACGUCUGUCAGCCCAGACUAUGGAACUUCAAAUGGGACUUGAUAAUAUCUUGAGACACAGAUUACUGGUGCAGGAUGCACUGGUCUAAUGUCCAUUGCUUGUUUCUUGGCCCAAGCAAGUCUCUUCUUAUUGGUGUCCUUUAGUGGUUUCUUUGGAGAAAUUCGACCAUGAAGGCAUGA
RNA transcript from Salvelinus namaycush (lake trout), 3304 nucleotides. It is a transcript of the gene named tumor necrosis factor receptor superfamily member 14-like, with no coding region annotated. Lineage: Eukaryota; Metazoa; Chordata; Actinopteri; Salmoniformes; Salmonidae. The transcript has 8 exons. The record is from RefSeq and is a predicted model, not a curated record.